AUUAUACAGCGAAACUGCGAAUGGCUCAUUAAAUCAGUUAUCGUUUAUUUGAUAGUGCCCAUCUACAUGGAUAACCGUGGUAAUUCUAGAGCUAAUACAUGCGUAAAAGCGCGACUUCGGGAGCGCUGUAUUUAUUAGAUUAAAGACCAAUGCCCUCCGGGGCUCACUGGUGAUUCAUGAUAACUCCUCUGAUCGCACGGCCUUGCGCCGGCGACGGCUCAUUCAAAUUUCUGCCCUAUCAACUUUCGACUUUAGUGUAGUGGACUAAAGUGGUUGCAACGGGUAACGGAGGGUUAGGGCUCGACCCCGGAGAAGGAGCCUGAGAAACGGCUACUACAUCCAAGGAAGGCAGCAGGCGCGCAAAUUACCCAAUCCCGACACGGGGAGGUAGUGACAAUAAAUACUGAUACAGGGCUCUUUCGGGUCUUGUAAUCGGAAUGAGUACAAUCUAAAUCCUUUAACGAGGAGCAAUUGGAGGGCAAGUCUGGUGCCAGCAGCCGCGGUAAUUCCAGCUCCAAUAGCGUAUAUUAAAGUUGUUGUGGUUAAAAAGCUCGUAGUUGAACCUGGGCCCCGUCCCGGCCGGUCCGCCUCACCGCGUGCACUGGUUCGGGAGGGGCUUCGCACCUUGGGGGUACGCAUGCCCUUCGCUGGGCGUGCGGGGAACCAGGACUUUUACUGUGAAAAAAUUAGAGUGUUCAAAGCAGGCCUAUGCUCGAAUACAUUAGCAUGGAAUAAUAAAAUAGGACGUGCGGUUCUAUUUUGUUGGUUAUGGGACCGCCGUAAUGAUUAAUAGGGACAGUCGGGGGCGUCAGUAUUCGGUGGUCAGAGGUGAAAUUCUUGGACCCACCGAAGACUAACUACUGCGAAAGCAUUCGCCAAGGAUGUUUUCAUUAAUCAGGAACGAAAGUUAGGGGAUCGAAAACGAUCAGAUACCGUUGUAGUCUUAACCAUAAACUAUGCCGACUAGGGAUCGGGCGAUGUUGCUUACUGACUCGCUCGGCACCUUUCGAGAAAUCAAAGUCUGUG
This 1026-nucleotide ribosomal RNA is filed under the name Simplicillium sp. NIOCC C2. RNAcentral's name for it is "SSU rRNA". It matches the Rfam family "Eukaryotic small subunit ribosomal RNA", at positions 73 to 1109 of the family's 1831-position model. The record is from RNAcentral. Lineage: Eukaryota; Fungi; Ascomycota; Sordariomycetes; Hypocreales; Cordycipitaceae.